This 1375-nucleotide ribosomal RNA is filed under the name Curtobacterium sp. CO147. Its description in RNAcentral is "16S ribosomal RNA". It matches the Rfam family "Bacterial small subunit ribosomal RNA". The record is from RNAcentral. Lineage: Bacteria; Bacillati; Actinomycetota; Actinomycetes; Micrococcales; Microbacteriaceae.
UGCAAGUCGAACGAUGAUGCCCAGCUUGCUGGGUGGAUUAGUGGCGAACGGGUGAGUAACACGUGAGUAACCUGCCCCUGACUCUGGGAUAAGCGUUGGAAACGACGUCUAAUACUGGAUAUGACCGCCGAUCGCAUGGUCUGGUGGUGGAAAGAUUUUUUGGUUGGGGAUGGACUCGCGGCCUAUCAGCUUGUUGGUGAGGUAAUGCUCACCAAGGCGACGACGGGUAGCCGGCCUGAGAGGGUGACCGGCCACACUGGGACUGAGACACGGCCCAGACUCCUACGGGAGGCAGCAGUGGGGAAUAUUGCACAAUGGGCGAAAGCCUGAUGCAGCAACGCCGCGUGAGGGAUGACGGCCUUCGGGUUGUAAACCUCUUUUAGUAGGGAAGAAGCGUAAGUGACGGUACCUGCAGAAAAAGCACCGGCUAACUACGUGCCAGCAGCCGCGGUAAUACGUAGGGUGCAAGCGUUGUCCGGAAUUAUUGGGCGUAAAGAGCUCGUAGGCGGUUUGUCGCGUCUGCUGUGAAAUCCCGAGGCUCAACCUCGGGCUUGCAGUGGGUACGGGCAGACUAGAGUGCGGUAGGGGAGAUUGGAAUUCCUGGUGUAGCGGUGGAAUGCGCAGAUAUCAGGAGGAACACCGAUGGCGAAGGCAGAUCUCUGGGCCGUAACUGACGCUGAGGAGCGAAAGCGUGGGGAGCGAACAGGAUUAGAUACCCUGGUAGUCCACGCCGUAAACGUUGGGCGCUAGAUGUAGGGACCUUUCCACGGUUUCUGUGUCGUAGCUAACGCAUUAAGCGCCCCGCCUGGGGAGUACGGCCGCAAGGCUAAAACUCAAAGGAAUUGACGGGGGCCCGCACAAGCGGCGGAGCAUGCGGAUUAAUUCGAUGCAACGCGAAGAACCUUACCAAGGCUUGACAUACACCGGAAACGGCCAGAGAUGGUUGCCCCCUUGUGGUCGGUGUACAGGUGGUGCAUGGUUGUCGUCAGCUCGUGUCGUGAGAUGUUGGGUUAAGUCCCGCAACGAGCGCAACCCUCGUUCUAUGUUGCCAGCGCGUUAUGGCGGGGACUCAUAGGAGACUGCCGGGGUCAACUCGGAGGAAGGUGGGGAUGACGUCAAAUCAUCAUGCCCCUUAUGUCUUGGGCUUCACGCAUGCUACAAUGGCCGGUACAAAGGGCUGCGAUACCGUAAGGUGGAGCGAAUCCCAAAAAGCCGGUCUCAGUUCGGAUUGAGGUCUGCAACUCGACCUCAUGAAGUCGGAGUCGCUAGUAAUCGCAGAUCAGCAACGCUGCGGUGAAUACGUUCCCGGGCCUUGUACACACCGCCCGUCAAGUCAUGAAAGUCGGUAACACCCGAAGCCGGUGGCCUAACCCUU